GAUCUGGCUCAGGAUGAACGCUAGCUACAGGCUUAACACAUGCAAGUCGAGGGGCAGCGGGAUUGAAGCUUGCUUCAAUUGCCGGCGACCGGCGCACGGGUGAGUAACGCGUAUCCAACCUUCCGUACACUCAGGGAUAGCCUUUCGAAAGAAAGAUUAAUACCUGAUGGUAUGAUGAGAUUGCAUGAUAUCAUCAUUAAAGAUUUAUCGGUGUACGAUGGGG
RNAcentral lists this ribosomal RNA (223 nucleotides) under uncultured bacterium. Its description in RNAcentral is "partial 16S ribosomal RNA". It matches the Rfam family "Bacterial small subunit ribosomal RNA", at positions 15 to 230 of the family's 1533-position model. The record is from RNAcentral.